Pleurotus pulmonarius is the source of this 145-nucleotide non-coding RNA. NCBI's taxonomy places the organism in Eukaryota, Fungi, Basidiomycota, Agaricomycetes, Agaricales, Pleurotaceae. The record is from the annotation of a GenBank genome assembly.
GGCCGACUAGCUCAGCUGGUUAGAGCGUCGUGCUAAUACAAAUUCGAGCGAAUCUGGCGAUUGCCGCGCGGUUCUUCGUGCGGUAAUCGCUAAAUUCGGUCGGAUCGUUACGCGAAGGUCUUGGGUUCGAUCCCCACGUUGGCCA